RNAcentral lists this ribosomal RNA (497 nucleotides) under uncultured bacterium. RNAcentral describes it as "partial 16S ribosomal RNA". It matches the Rfam family "Bacterial small subunit ribosomal RNA", at positions 28 to 507 of the family's 1533-position model. The record is from RNAcentral.
GAUGAACGCUGGCGGCGUGCCUAAUACAUGCAAGUCGAGCGAACAGACGAGGAGCUUGCUCCUCUGACGUUAGCGGCGGACGGGUGAGUAACACGUGGAUAACCUACCUAUAAGACUGGGAUAACUUCGGGAAACCGGAGCUAAUACCGGAUAAUAUAUUGAACCGCAUGGUUCAAUAGUGAAAGACGGUUUUGCUGUCACUUAUAGAUGGAUCCGCGCCGCAUUAGCUAGGUGGUAAGGUAACGGCUUACCAAGGCAACGAUGCGUAGCCGACCUGAGAGGGUGAUCGGCCACACUGGAACUGAGACACGGUCCAGACUCCUACGGGAGGCAGCAGUAGGGAAUCUUACGCAAUGGGCGAAAGCCUGACGGAGCAACGUCGCGUGAGUGAUGAAGGUCUUCGGAUCGUAAAACUCUGUUAUUAGGGAAGAACAAAUGUGUAAGUAACUAUGCACGUCUUGACGGUACCUAAUCAGAAAGCCACGGCUAACUACGUG